CAUCUAAGCACGAAACUUGCCCCGAGAUGAGUUCUCCCUGACUCCCUGAGAGUCCUGAAGGAACGUUGAAGACGACGACGUUGAUAGGCCGGGUGUGUAAGCGCAGCGAUGCGUUGAGCUAACCGGUACUAAUGAACCGUGAGGCUUAACCUUACAACGCCGAAG
Molecule: ribosomal RNA, 165 nt
Filed under: Escherichia coli
Lineage: Bacteria; Pseudomonadati; Pseudomonadota; Gammaproteobacteria; Enterobacterales; Enterobacteriaceae
Description: partial 23S ribosomal RNA
Rfam family: Bacterial large subunit ribosomal RNA
Source: RNAcentral